Molecule: ribosomal RNA, 253 nt
Filed under: uncultured bacterium
Lineage: Bacteria
Description: partial 16S ribosomal RNA
Rfam family: Bacterial small subunit ribosomal RNA
Source: RNAcentral
UACGAAGGGGGCUAGCGUUGUUCGGAAUUACUGGGCGUAAAGCGUGCGCAGGCGGCUUCUCAAGUCAGGGGUGAAAGCCCAGAGCUCAACUCUGGAAUUGCCUUUGAGACUGAGUGGCUUGAGUACGAGAGAGGUGAGUGGAAUUCCCAGUGUAGAGGUGAAAUUCGUAGAUAUUGGGAAGAACACCGGUGGCGAAGGCGGCUCUCUGGACCGAGACUGACGCUGAGGCGCGAAAGCGUGGGGAGCAAACAGG